Girardinichthys multiradiatus is the source of this 1731-nucleotide long non-coding RNA. RefSeq lists it as uncharacterized. The record is from RefSeq and is a predicted model, not a curated record. The transcript has 2 exons. NCBI's taxonomy places the organism in Eukaryota, Metazoa, Chordata, Actinopteri, Cyprinodontiformes, Goodeidae.
GGAUGUUGUAGGGUUGUGUUGGUUAAUGCGACUCUGCAGCAUCGCGUGGACAUCAGGGGCAGUUCCACUGGAUUUCAGGGGUGGUGGUCCCCCUGUUCAAAAAAGGGGGACCAUAGAGUGUGUUCCAACUAUAGGGGAGUCACACUCUUAACCUCCCUGGUAAUGUCUAUUCGGGGAUUCUGGAGGGGAGGGUACAUCGGAUAGUCAAACCUCAGAUUCAGGAAGAGCAGUGUGGUUUUUGUCCUGGCUGUAGAACACUGGACCAGCUCUGCACCCUCAGCAGGGUCCUGGAGGGUGCCUGGGUGUUCGCCCAACCAGUCUACAUGUUCUUUGUGGACUUGGAGAAGGCGUUCGACCAUGUCCCUCAGGGAAUCCUGUGGGGGGUAGUCCGGGAGUAUGGGGUACCAGGCCCUUUGAUAUGGACUGUUAGGUCCCUGUACGACUGUAGUGGAAUUUUCUUAUCAAAGGCACGGGCAAAGGUUCAUGUUUUAGCAAGACAGUUACUAUACACAAAAAUAGCUCGGGUUAUAAUGGACUGGUUUAGAUCAAAGCAUGUUCAUCUGUUAAAAUGGCCCAGUCAAAGUCCAGACCUAAAUCAAAUUGAGAAUCUGUGGAAUCUUUUCCAGUUUGCAAUGAAUGGGCAAAGGUUUUGUCCCUACAUGUUCUAAACGUGUACAGACAUAACCCACAGGAUACAAAACUAAUUUCAUCCAAAGGCAGUUACAAAUUAUCGACUCUGAAGGGGCUGAGAAAACACACAGGACAUUCUUUAGAUUAUUAAAAAUUAUGUACCACGUCGGUCUGGAAUAUUAAAUCCCUAUGAGCACAUUAACGUUUGUGGUUACAAUGUGAAACAAUUUAAAUAAAAUUCCAAGACACUACAUGAACAAGAAAAAAAGAUACAAUUCUUGACAGUGCUAUUUUUAUUUCAGUGCUCUUAUGUAACAGUGCAAAUGUCAAUAAAAUAUUUGGUAGCAUACUUUAUCACUGCUUGGUUGGGGGCCACUUACCAUCAUUGCUGAAGUGUGUGUCUAUGUAUUUGACUAACUGCUGCAAACAUCCAGAAAACUAACAAAGGAAGAGACUGUCAUACUCACAGAGCUGUGUGCAGGUUGGUUGUGUCUGUGUCUCUCUUUCGUCUCUGGACAGGAUGUGAUUGGCAGGUGCAGGGGCUGCAGCUGCAGCUCAUCAGGACUAAUCAGAUGGAGCAUAAAGAGGAGCUGGAGACCAGAAAGAGAAACGCCAGAUUGGCUGCUCUUGCAGUGUGGUAACCAGGCCUACUACUGUUUUGUGCUGUUGAUUAUCCAGUAACUGAUCUAAUCCAAAUCUUGUCCUCACUUCAGCAGAUACCUGUCAAAGAAGGCUUCCAGAAUCUCUGCAUGCUUCGUCAUCUCUGGGAUUUCCACAAUAAGUCUUCUGGGUCUUCCACUGUUUGUCUCCUCUAUGCUCCUCAGAUUCUCCACCUGGCUUUCUCAUCAGUCCGCUUCUCUGCUGCCACCUCUCACCCACCUGUCUGUCCACCCUCAUACACCAACGGACAUCAACAUCUGGGAAGUAAUAAACAGAGACACAGCAUCUGUGACUGUCAAACAUAACCAUCUGACAGCCCCAGUCACCUACUGAUCACCUACCAAUUUACUAACAAACUAUGCCUGAUCAGAACCUGAACUCCAGCCCGGAUGAUUCCUCUUUCCUUGCCCUUGUCACAGAAAAUAAACAUUUUAGAACUGC